This 90-nucleotide transfer RNA is filed under the name Patescibacteria group bacterium. Its description in RNAcentral is "tRNA-Ser". It matches the Rfam family "tRNA". From Rfam's summary of the family: Transfer RNA (tRNA) molecules are approximately 80 nucleotides in length. Their secondary structure includes four short double-helical elements and three loops (D, anti-codon, and T loops). The record is from RNAcentral.
GGAGAGAUGGCAGAGCGGUCGAAUGCGGCGGUCUUGAAAACCGUUAGGCCUGCAAAGGUCUCCAGGGUUCGAAUCCCUGUCUCUCCGCCA